This 498-nucleotide ribosomal RNA is filed under the name uncultured Glomeromycotina. Its description in RNAcentral is "partial small subunit ribosomal RNA". It matches the Rfam family "Eukaryotic small subunit ribosomal RNA", at positions 591 to 1092 of the family's 1831-position model. Lineage: Eukaryota; Fungi; Glomeromycota. The record is from RNAcentral.
CCAAUAGCGUAUAUUAAAGUUGUUGCAGUUAAAAAGCUCGUAGUUGAAUUUUAGGCCUGGCCGGGCGGUCCGUCUUUGGCGAGUACUGUCUUGUUGUCGGGUCUUCCUUCUGGUGAACCAGUAUGUCCUUUAUUGGGUGUGUUGGGGAGCCAGGACCAUUACCUUGAAAAAAUUAGAGUGUUUAAAGCGGGCUAUUGCUUGAAUAGAUUAGCAUGGAAUAAUAGAAUAGGACGUUGUGGUUCUAUUUUGUUGGUUUCUAGGACCACCGUAAUGAUUAAUAGGGAUAGUUGGGGGCAUUAGUAUUCAAUUGUCAGAGGUGAAAUUCUUGGAUUUAUUGAAGACUAACUAUUGCGAAAGCAUUUGCCAAGGAUGUUUUCAUUAAUCAAGAACGAAAGUUAGGGGAUCGAAGACGAUCAGAUACCGUCGUAGUCUUAACCAUAAACUAUGCCGACUAGGAAUCGGGCGUCGUUAUUUUAAUGACUCGCUCGGCGCCUUAUG